This 252-nucleotide ribosomal RNA is filed under the name uncultured bacterium. RNAcentral's name for it is "partial 16S ribosomal RNA". It matches the Rfam family "Bacterial small subunit ribosomal RNA", at positions 524 to 776 of the family's 1533-position model. The record is from RNAcentral.
UACAGAGGUCUCAAGCGUUGUUCGGAUUCAUUGGGCGUAAAGGGUGCGUAGGUGGCGCGCUAAGUCAGGUGUGAAAUCUCGGAGCUUAACUCCGAAACUGCAUUUGAUACUGGCGUGCUUGAGGACUGGAGAGGAGACUGGAAUUCACGGUGUAGCAGUGAAAUGCGUAGAUAUCGUGAGGAAGACCAGUGGCGAAGGCGGGUCUCUGGACAGUUCCUGACACUGAGGCACGAAGGCCAGGGAGCAAACGGG